UCAGUGUGAGAGGGGGAGGCUCGGGGAACAGAGCCGGCUUUCCCACAGGAAGGAUGGAAAAUGGCCAGUAGACAAGCGGGCCAAAAGAAGAGACGAGAGGCAGAGCUGGAACCAACCUUGACCACGAACUCGUUCUUUAGUAGAGUGUCUCGACUUAAAAGAGGAAUAAGUGAACCACAGCCAAGUGCCACACAAGACCGAAGGCGUGUUUGUCAAGUUCUAGUGACUCAUGGCUCCGCCCCUUCUGGGGUUUAUUUCCAGUAUCUGCUCCCCUGUUAACAGUGGCAGUGUUGAAGAGAGUGUUGUAGGCAGAGACACCACGGCCCAUAAACCCUGAAAUAUUUCUAUCCGGUUUAAUAAAGAAGAUGUCUUGUG
This 375-nucleotide long non-coding RNA is filed under the name Rattus norvegicus (Norway rat). Its description in RNAcentral is "long non-coding RNA NONRATT014676". Lineage: Eukaryota; Metazoa; Chordata; Mammalia; Rodentia; Muridae. The record is from RNAcentral.